This 138-nucleotide ribosomal RNA is filed under the name uncultured eukaryote. Its description in RNAcentral is "partial 18S ribosomal RNA". It matches the Rfam family "Eukaryotic small subunit ribosomal RNA", at positions 1299 to 1458 of the family's 1831-position model. The record is from RNAcentral.
UGGUGGAGUGAUUUGUCUGGUUAAUUCCGUUAACGAACGAGACCUUAGCCUACUAACUAGUCGCGGUUAAUUUCGAUUACCGCCGACUUCUUAGAGGGACUUUGUGGUUCAACUACAAGGAAGUUUGAGGCAAUAACA